GGCGCUGGAAGAGACGAUCGCUCCGCCUUGCGGCGGAGAGGAAAGUCCGGACGCCACCAGGGAAGCGGGCCGUGGGAAACCGCGGGACCGAGAGGGCGUAAGCCGCUCGGGACGGAAAGUGUCACAGAGAAUAGACCGCCGCGCCGGAGAGGCGCGGCAAGGGUGAAACGGCGGGGUAAGAGCCCACCGCUCGAGCCGGAGACGGCCGAGGCACGAUAAACCCCCCGCGGCGCAAGGCCAAACAGAGGUGCUGGCUCCCUGGCCGCUCCGACGCUCAGGCGUCACGGCGCCGAGCGUUUGGGCACACCUCGGGUCAGGCCGCACCGCGGCGGCUUGCCGUCGCGGACCGAUCGCCGCAAUGCGAUCGGUAGAGAAAUGAUCGUCGCCUGGAAGGGCUGCUUUCCAGGAACAGAAUCCGGCUUAUCUUCCGGCGCCGCUU
This 439-nucleotide RNase P RNA is filed under the name Methylacidiphilaceae bacterium. RNAcentral's name for it is "Candidatus Methylacidiphilaceae bacterium RNase P RNA component class A". It matches the Rfam family "Bacterial RNase P class A". From Rfam's summary of the family: Ribonuclease P (RNase P) is a ubiquitous endoribonuclease, found in archaea, bacteria and eukarya as well as chloroplasts and mitochondria. Its best characterised activity is the generation of mature 5'-ends of tRNAs by cleaving the 5'-leader elements of precursor-tRNAs. Cellular RNase Ps are ribonucleoproteins. The record is from RNAcentral. Lineage: Bacteria; Pseudomonadati; Verrucomicrobiota; Methylacidiphilae; Methylacidiphilales; Methylacidiphilaceae.